This 253-nucleotide ribosomal RNA is filed under the name uncultured bacterium. Its description in RNAcentral is "partial 16S ribosomal RNA". It matches the Rfam family "Bacterial small subunit ribosomal RNA", at positions 524 to 776 of the family's 1533-position model. The record is from RNAcentral.
UACGAAGGGGGCUAGCGUUGCUCGGAAUCACUGGGCGUAAAGGGCGCGUAGGCGGAUCUUUAAGUCGGGGGUGAAAGCCCAGGGCUCAACCUUGGAACUGCCUUUGAUACUGGCUAUCUUGAGUUCGGGAGAGGUGAGUGGAAUGCCGAGUGUAGAGGUGAAAUUCGUAGAUAUUCGGCGGAACACCAGUGGCGAAGGCGACUCACUGGCCCGAUACUGACGCUGAGGCGCGAAAGCGUGGGGAGCAAACAGG